This 497-nucleotide ribosomal RNA is filed under the name uncultured bacterium. Its description in RNAcentral is "partial 16S ribosomal RNA". It matches the Rfam family "Bacterial small subunit ribosomal RNA", at positions 28 to 507 of the family's 1533-position model. The record is from RNAcentral.
GAUGAACGCUGGCGGCGUGCCUAAUACAUGCAAGUCGAGCGAACGGACUAGAAUCUUUCUUCUCUGAUGUUAGCGGCUGACGGGCGAUUAACACGUGGAUAACCUACCUAUAAUACUGGGAUAACUUCGUGAAACCUGAUCUAAUACCGGAUAAUAUUUUUAUCCUCAUGGUUCAUAAUUUAUUUACGUUCUUUCUGUCUCUUCUAGAUGUUUCCCCGCUGCAUUAGCUAGUUGGUAAGGUAACGGCUUACCAAGGCAACGAUGCAUAGCCGACCUGAGAGGGUGAGCGGCCACACUGGAAGUGAGACAGGGACAAGAGUACUAAGGGAGGAAGCAGUAGGGAAUAUUAGGCAAUGGGCGAAAGCAUGACGGAGCAAAGCCGCGUGAGUGAAGAAGGUCUUAGGAGCGUAAAACUAUGUUAUUAGGGAAGAAAAUAUGUGUAAGAAAAUGUGCACAUAGUGACGGUAACUAAUAAGAAAGCCACGGCUAACUACGUG